RNAcentral lists this long non-coding RNA (379 nucleotides) under Mytilus galloprovincialis (Mediterranean mussel). Lineage: Eukaryota; Metazoa; Mollusca; Bivalvia; Mytilida; Mytilidae. The record is from RNAcentral.
GUUUGGGUAUUGUCUUCUUCAGUGUCAGUUUGAGUACUGUAAUCCAUUCCUUUAAUUGUUAUUAUUGUUUGAUUUGGACAAAUUGAAUGUUCCUUAGAAUGGUGCAAAUCUGAUAUGAAUUCUUUUCUCUUCUUUUCAUAUAUGUACGGACAUUUUGGAGAUAUAUUUGCAUGUAUUGUCCAAAUGUUUACAUUUUGUGGAAUGUGAAAGAGUCUAACGCAACAUUUGAAGCACUGAAUAGUAUUCAACGCAACACAAUAAAAUCCAGCUUCUGCAAUGGUUUUACAUCCCAUUCAUUUAUAUUACAUGCACAUGCUUCAAAGGUUUUCAUUCUAGAUUCUAAAGUGCAAUACGUUUUUUCAAGUUGAGAUGCAAAAUU